GCACAUUUAUUAUAUUUUUCGAAUUUGAAUAUUAUUUAAAUUUUACUAAUAAAUCCUAUUUUUAAAAAAAAUUUCUUUUUUCUUCCUUUAAUAUUUUUAAAAGUAACCCAUUAUAACUUAGAUAUGGUCUACACCUUUACCUAACUUAUUAGAUAUAAUUCUAUUGAGAAUAAAAUUUUAAAAUAAAUCCUUAAGAUGGAGGUAUAUAAAAUAUAAAUAGAAGUGAGAAGUAGCGUGGAUUAUCGAUUAUUUAACAGGUU
This 260-nucleotide ribosomal RNA is filed under the name Nephilengys dodo. RNAcentral's name for it is "partial 12S ribosomal RNA". Lineage: Eukaryota; Metazoa; Arthropoda; Arachnida; Araneae; Nephilidae. The record is from RNAcentral.